RNAcentral lists this microRNA precursor (140 nucleotides) under Brachypodium distachyon (stiff brome). Its description in RNAcentral is "mir-395 microRNA precursor family". It matches the Rfam family "mir-395 microRNA precursor family". Rfam says of the family: mir-395 was identified in both Arabidopsis thaliana and Oryza sativa computationally and was later experimentally verified. mir-395 is thought to target mRNAs coding for ATP sulphurylases. The mature sequence is excised from the 3' arm of the hairpin. The record is from Rfam by way of RNAcentral. Lineage: Eukaryota; Viridiplantae; Streptophyta; Magnoliopsida; Poales; Poaceae.
UUGUCACCUGGAGUUCUCCUCAAAUCACUUCAGUAGCUAGCUAGCUUGUGCCUCCUUGUUGCAUUGCCACUGUUUUAUAAGUGUGCUUGGGGCCAGAGAGCUGUGCACAGUGAAGUGUUUGGGGGAACUCUGGGUGGCAA